UACAGAGGUGGCAAGCGUUGUUCGGAAUUACUGGGCGUAAAGGGCGCGUAGGCGGCCCUCUAAGUCAGACGUGAAAUCCCCCGGCUUAACCGGGGAACUGCGUCCGAUACUGGAUGGCUUGAGAUUGGGAGAGGGAUGCGGAAUUCCAGGUGUAGCGGUGAAAUGCGUAGAUAUCUGGAGGAACACCGGUGGCGAAGGCGGCAUCCUGGACCAACACUGACGCUGAUGAGCGAAAGCCAGGGGAGCAAACGGG
Molecule: ribosomal RNA, 253 nt
Filed under: uncultured bacterium
Lineage: Bacteria
Description: partial 16S ribosomal RNA
Rfam family: Bacterial small subunit ribosomal RNA
Source: RNAcentral